Molecule: long non-coding RNA, 1283 nt
Organism: Canis lupus familiaris (dog)
Lineage: Eukaryota; Metazoa; Chordata; Mammalia; Carnivora; Canidae
Exons: 3
Source: RefSeq, a predicted model, not a curated record
CAAAUACCCACCAUUUGCUUCAACGUGGAUGGAACUGGAGGGUAUUAUGCUGAGUGAAGCUGAUGAUAACUCCCAACUUUCGCACCUUAGAUUUUCUGCCAUAGAAAGAUCACAUGAUGUUCUCCCUCCAAGUUCAAAGCAUUGAGAAGAGUUCUAAGUAGCCCAGUCAACCUCUGGACCAACUGAUGACAGGAUCUUGUAAGAAGAUAUUAUAGAUCUUAUAAGAACUUGCUCUACUUCAGACUGUGUUGACCAGGAUGUCUGUAUUCCAUACCUUGGUCAUCCUCCCAGGAGCCGGUAAGCUAGCCAGGGAUCAUAGGAGGCUUCUGAAGUUUAGACUCAGAACCAUCCUAACACUGCCACUGCUACUCAUAUGCCACUGGUCAAUGUAAAUCACAUGGCUAAAAAGUGAGUAAAAGGACAGAGAAAUACUUUCUGCCCACAGUGAAGCUAUAGUCAGAGUGGGAUACAGAGGAUUGGGAAGGAUGGGGCUCAAUCAUUUCAUCCAUCAUAAGGGGUAAAUGUGAGAAACAGCUGACAGAGAAAGAUUGGAUGUUGGGCAAAUGAGACAAUAGGUAUCCAGCAUAGUAAUAUCACAUAGAUACAAACAUAAGAAAACCAGGUAGUAUAUUUUAUCAAUCCCAAAAUGCUAAAGUAGAAAGUAAUCGGAAGAGAACUGUCUUACAAUGUAACAAGUACUGUACUAAGAAUUUUACAGAUAGAAUCUCAAAGGAGGAACAGAAAAGCUAUAUUUAAUCUGAAACAAUGUCAUUUUGCCUAUAAACUCUCACAGGUUCCAAAGAAAGUGUCCUAGAAGAUUCCAAGUUAAUGUCUGUUUUCCAGUUGCUGCUUCUUUAGGAGUACGUCCUGCCUUGGUGUAAUCUUUAUGUUUAUAAGAGAAAGGCACCAGCACGGUGCUUCCUUUUCUUCCCAGUAUUGGGAAAUCAAAGUGUUCACAGUUGUAAACACAUUUAAAAAGACAAUAUCUAGUAUAAAUUAGGUUGUCAAAUUUUUACUCUCUCAUUUGAGAGAAUAAAUCUUGAUUGAUGAAUUUAAGUAAUAUGUCUUCUAUAUGCACAUUUAUACUGUACACAUUUCACACAGCCUUGCUUAUAGGAAAUUUUAUAUUUUGCUGAGAUAUCCUUCUUUAGUUAAUACUGAUCAGUUGUUUAAAAAAAAGAAUGAUUUAAUGUGGUAGAGUUAAAUCUUUAUUCAUGCUUCACUAUAAAAUUAAUAGGAAGCUAUUAAAUCCAGAGCGUAGUAAAGAACUCUAAGAGUUUCAU